UACGUAGGGUGCGAGCGUUAAUCGGAAUUACUGGGCGUAAAGCGUGCGCAGGCGGUUCGCCAAGUCAGGUGUGAAAUCCCCGGGCUUAACCUGGGAAUUGCGCUUGAAACUAGCGGGCUUGAGUGUGGCAGAGGGGGGUGGAAUUCCACGUGUAGCAGUGAAAUGCGUAGAGAUGUGGAGGAACACCGAUGGCGAAGGCAGCCCCCUGGGUCAACACUGACGCUCAUGCACGAAGGCGUGGGGAGCAAACAGG
Molecule: ribosomal RNA, 253 nt
Filed under: uncultured bacterium
Lineage: Bacteria
Description: partial 16S ribosomal RNA
Rfam family: Bacterial small subunit ribosomal RNA
Source: RNAcentral